Molecule: long non-coding RNA, 346 nt
Filed under: Elaeis guineensis (African oil palm)
Lineage: Eukaryota; Viridiplantae; Streptophyta; Magnoliopsida; Arecales; Arecaceae
Description: long non-coding RNA (EGUI_LNC054202)
Source: RNAcentral
GAUGUAGAAGCUUAUCUGAAGAUUAUCCACUGGAGAGGUUCGGUUGCAUAAGGAAUCCGACAGAAUGUCGAUCGAUAGUAAAAUUCAGAAGGUGCUAUAAAAGGUUGACUGAUAGAAAAGUCCGAAAGGCAUUAUGGAGGUUCGUCUACUGGAGGAGUCUGGUUGGCACUGUUGAAGUUCGGUUAGCACUGUUGAAGGUUGAUGGUUGGAGAGGCACGGAAGACACCGGAGACAGUCGGUCACUGUAGAAAUUCGACUGCUGGAGCCCGUCUGUUGUAGAAGUUCGGACGGAGUCUGAUUCUUGUAGGAGUCCGAAAGGAGGCUGCUUACUGUAGAAGCUUGGAUG